GACGAACGCUGGCGGCGUGCUUAACACAUGCAAGUCGAACGGAAAGGCCCUGCUUUUGUGGGGUGCUCGAGUGGCGAACGGGUGAGUAACACGUGAGUAACCUGCCCUUGACUUUGGGAUAACUUCAGGAAACUGGGGCUAAUACCGGAUAGGAGCUCCUGCUGCAUGGUGGGGGUUGGAAAGUUUCGGCGGUUGGGGAUGGACUCGCGGCUUAUCAGCUUGUUGGUGGGGUAGUGGCUUACCAAGGCUUUGACGGGUAGCCGGCCUGAGAGGGUGACCGGACACAUUGGGACUGAGAUACGGCCCAGACUCCUACGGGAGGCAGCAGUGGGGAAUAUUGCACAAGGGGCGGAAGCCUGAUGCAGCAACGCCGCGUGCGGGAUGACGGCCUUCGGGUUGUAAACCGCUUUCGCCUGUGACGAAGCGUGAGUGACGGUAAUGGGUAAAGAAGCACCGGCUAACUACGUG
RNAcentral lists this ribosomal RNA (468 nucleotides) under uncultured bacterium. RNAcentral describes it as "partial 16S ribosomal RNA". It matches the Rfam family "Bacterial small subunit ribosomal RNA", at positions 28 to 507 of the family's 1533-position model. The record is from RNAcentral.